CUGGACCAGGUCCUGAGGGAGGCUGAGGGGGAAGUCUGGGUAUCGUGCAAGAUUCCUGGAAAGCCCACGAUACGCGGCAGCCUGACGUCAAAGGGAAUAAGUUCUGAUGAGGUUUCCGG
Molecule: long non-coding RNA, 119 nt
Organism: Xenopus tropicalis (tropical clawed frog)
Lineage: Eukaryota; Metazoa; Chordata; Amphibia; Anura; Pipidae
Exons: 3
Source: RefSeq, a predicted model, not a curated record